Molecule: ribosomal RNA, 465 nt
Filed under: Vreelandella stevensii
Lineage: Bacteria; Pseudomonadati; Pseudomonadota; Gammaproteobacteria; Oceanospirillales; Halomonadaceae
Description: partial 16S ribosomal RNA
Rfam family: Bacterial small subunit ribosomal RNA
Source: RNAcentral
CCUACGGGGGGCUGCAGUGGGGAAUAUUGGACAAUGGGGACAACCCUGAUCCAGCCAUGCCGCGUGUGUGAAGAAGGCCCUCGGGUUGUAAAGCACUUUCAGUGAGGAAGAACGCCUGGUGGUUAAUACCCAUCAGGAAAGACAUCACUCACAGAAGAAGCACCGGCUAACUCCGUGCCAGCAGCCGCGGUAAUACGGAGGGUGCGAGCGUUAAUCGGAAUUACUGGGCGUAAAGCGCGCGUAGGUGGCUUGAUAAGCCGGUUGUGAAAGCCCCGGGCUCAACCUGGGAACGGCAUCCGGAACUGUCAAGCUAGAGUGCAGGAGAGGAAGGUAGAAUUCCCGGUGUAGCGGUGAAAUGCGUAGAGAUCGGGAGGAAUACCAGUGGCGAAGGCGGCCUUCUGGACUGACACUGACACUGAGGUGCGAAAGCGUGGGUAGCAAACAGGAUUAGAUACCCUGGUAGUC